AUGGCUACUCGUAUCCUUAAAUCAACUAAAACCAUAAUAACAGUGAAUAUUCCACACCAAAUUCCGUGGUAAUUUUGAAACAGUGAGAAUUGAACACAUACAAGGACAUAGUAUUGGAAUUUGUAGCGGGCAAGGAGAAGAGAGUGAAUUCCUUUAGAGCCACAGCUGAUGAUGGCGUCGGUACCUCCCGCCAAGACACAGGGGUGAGCUCACUGGAGUGCCGUUAUAUUUCCAGCCUGUAUAGAGGUGACAGUGCCGUGACAGAGGUGGUGGAGGUUAUUAAUGCACCAAGGAACAGGUGUGUAAGGUGUGGCAGUGGUGUUGAUAAGGGAUUAGUGUGUAAGGAGGGAAAGAAGUGUGGUGGGCCGAGUGCACGUCUGCUCCAUGUCAACAAACUUAUGGUGACGGCCGUGUGGUGUUUGGUGUUGCUUAUACACCCCAUAAACACACUCAACACAUCCACAACAUGCCCAUAUACACCCACACACACAAAGUGAAGUGAUGACAUUCCCGACAGCACCAGCGGCGAGACAAGAGAGCAAUGCAACUCUUCACCACAACGCCUCACCAUCAUUUAUUUCAGGCUCAGGCGUGUAGAUGGAAGCAGUAGAAGAAAGAA
Long non-coding RNA from Portunus trituberculatus (swimming crab), 619 nucleotides. RefSeq lists it as uncharacterized. The record is from RefSeq and is a predicted model, not a curated record. NCBI's taxonomy places the organism in Eukaryota, Metazoa, Arthropoda, Malacostraca, Decapoda, Portunidae. The transcript has 2 exons.